RNAcentral lists this ribosomal RNA (497 nucleotides) under uncultured bacterium. Its description in RNAcentral is "partial 16S ribosomal RNA". It matches the Rfam family "Bacterial small subunit ribosomal RNA", at positions 28 to 507 of the family's 1533-position model. The record is from RNAcentral.
GUUGAACGCUGGCGGCGUGCCUAACACAUGCAAGUCGAACGAACACACGAGUAGCUUUCCCCUUUCACUUUCGCGUCGCACGGGUGUGUGACAUGUCGAUAACCUUCCCUUAUGACUGGGAUAACCUCCUGAAACCGGUGCCAAUUCCCGCUUAUCUAUUCAACCGCAUGGUUCAAUAGUUUAAGACGGCUUUCCUUCCACUUUUAGCUGGUUCCGCGCCGCAUUAGCUAGUUGGUAAGGUAACGGCUUACCAAGGCAACGAUGCGUAGCCGACCUGAGAGGGUGAUCAGCCACACUGGAACUGAGACACGGUCCAGACUCCUACGGGAGGCAGCAGUGGGGAAUAUUGCGCAAUGGGCGAAAGCCUGAUGGAGCAACGCCGCGUGAGUGAUGAAGGUCUUCGGAUCGUAAAGUUCUGUUAUUAGGGAAGAAGAAAUGUGUGAGAAAAUAUGCACGUAUUGACGGUACCUAAACAGAAAGCCACGGCUAACUACGUG